AGAAGCUCCUUCCUUAUAAAUAUAUGCCCAGGCAUGCAACCAUCAGUACACAGCCACAAAUGCAAGUGCAGAUGACUGACUAGAAGAGGUCUUGCAUGGAAGUAAGAGGCCAUCUUCGAUAGCCAAGGAUGAUUUGCCUGUAGCCCCAUUGUCAUCAGCUCUCUCCGUCGAGAGCGACAACCGGGCUCUACUGGCAAGUCUCCUCGGCUACCCGAGUACCUCUUAUGCUAUCCCAUGUCAGACCUGCUCUUCUUUACCAUCAGUGAUCAUCAAAAUUCACAACACCAACAAUGAGGUAAGCAAUCUAAGUAACAAAACGUCCCAGUGAUUACCUUGGUGGCGCUUGUAUGUACCAAAGGCAUCCUCUAUGGCUACACUGUAUUAUUCUGCAGUUCUGUCAUUGCCAAUCUGCCAUUGUGGUACUAUCAGCCACCACCAUGCCACAAAAGGUUACACUUCGGCUGAAAACACACGUCUUGUUUAGAUAUUUAGUAUUUCUGGAGUUCCUCCCAAAAAUAUAUGAUCUAAGCUUUGAAAAAAUAUCAAGGAUGAUUUUUAUUUAGCUUUGCACACUCAACUCGUAGCCUUUCCU
This 592-nucleotide non-coding RNA is filed under the name Oryza sativa Indica Group (long-grained rice). The record is from RNAcentral. Lineage: Eukaryota; Viridiplantae; Streptophyta; Magnoliopsida; Poales; Poaceae.